UAAUCACGGAAUUAAGAAAUUUUUCCAAGCUCGAUUUUAAUUCCAAAUAUGAGUUAAUUGCAAGAGGGAGGUCUACGCCAGCCUUAGAUGGACUAGUACAGCAAAAGGGCCCAAAAAUUAUCCGAUCAUUUCAAACUGAUGGUAUGUAAGAAAAGAUUGGCUAUGUGGCUGUGCUAACAAUCAGCGGCUGUACUGCUAUCCCUGCCUGCUUUUUUCAACCAGUCAGACUGUUUGGACUUCAGCAGGAUAUUGUGAUUUGAACAACCUGCCAGCAGCUUUAACCAAGCAUGAAAAGUCGUCAGCUCACAUCCAGUGUCAAAUUACACUGAAAACCUUUGGAAAAUCUCGGAUCGACCUUGCACUUGACGACCAAAGGAAGCUGUAUAUAACCUACCACAAUGAAAAGGACACCACAGUGUCAAUCCUAAAACCGGCCACAGAGAGUGAGUGCAGGAUGUGCCUGUUCCAAUUUACUAGCCGCCAGAAUCACAGGAUGGGAUCUGGGGUGGAGAAGGCUGGAUAUCUGGUUUUAGAUAUGCCAACAAUGACAAGGAUCCAGAGCCUCUUCACAAGAGUUUGGUGGAGAAGCUUGUGAAGAAGCUAGCCAUCAAGAAGCUCUCAGAGACUCAAAUUGUAGAGAAGACAACGUUAAAUUGUCUUCCUUGAUAUCUGUUGUUAAUUUAACUGUAAUGCACUGAGAUUAUUAGGGAAGCCACAAUAAUGUAUUUAUUUUGUAUUAAUAUCAGCAGCUGUGCUUGUAUUCUGUAAAUAAUAUUAAAUUGAUUCAGAAAUAUGCACAUAAUGCCUCUAAGGCAUUUUUGUUCUUAAAAAGAAAUUGAUGCUUCUUUUUCACCUUAGAUGCAUUAUAUUGUUUAAAAAUACUACCUUGAACAUUAGUAAUGCUGCAAAAUAGUAUUACUGUUUGAUAUAACUUUUAUAUUGUAUUUUAAAAUUCAAUUUUUAAAGUGUGGCGUGAUCUUGAUUAAUCAUUUACAAAAAGAGUAGGAUGGCACAUUUAUUUUGGGAUGGUUAGCAUAUUAUGUGUAAAACCAUAAUAGAUAACAAUUCAUAAUCUUUAUACACACUAUUUACUAUCUUAAUACCUUUACAUACACACACAUAAUAUAAUGUUUAAAAAUGAAUAAUAAUUGUAUCAUCAUUACACCUACACAUGGUUCAAGCCAGACUACUAUUACAAUUAGUUCCUAUCAUUUAUGUGAUUAAAACAAAUCUUCAUAUUCCAAACCAUAAUUUAAUCAUAUAUCAAUCCUAAUAAUAUUAAUAUAAUCGUAUUAAUUUCAAUCAGAUGCACAGGUAAAUGUCUAAACCGGCUGGGCCUUACUGCCUGCCGUACCACCUGCCUUCAGUUGUCCAGCUAUGGGGUCAUCAGCCAGGAUGUCCUGUCUCAUUAAUCCCGGAACAUCUCCUGGAGGAGGGGCAGCGGUCAGGGACGCCUCCCUGCCAACCCCACAGAUGGACACGAAUCACAAUAUUAAUGAUAAAAAAACAAACAUGUGUUGAGUCCUAGUUUAAAAUAUACUUUUGUUUGUUUUUCUCCUCUCUUCUGAAACUUUCAUGUUUUAACAAUGUGCCAAG
This is a long non-coding RNA of Xyrauchen texanus (razorback sucker), 1596 nucleotides long. RefSeq lists it as uncharacterized. The record is from RefSeq and is a predicted model, not a curated record. The transcript has 3 exons. Lineage: Eukaryota; Metazoa; Chordata; Actinopteri; Cypriniformes; Catostomidae.